UUAAACCUCUUCCAGAGUAUCAAUUGGAGGGCAAGUCUGGUGCCAGCAGCCGCGGUAAUUUCAGCUCCAAUAGCGUAUAUUAAAAUUGUUGCAGUUAAAAAGCUCGUAGUUGAAUUUCUGCUGCUUUGCAUUUUCUCCUAUACGAGUUUUUGCAUUGUGGCUUAUUUCGGUUAUAAUUUAUUAUUUCCGGAUGUUUACUUUGAGAAAAUUAGAGUGCUCAAAACAGGCUUUUGCCUUGAAUAGUUUAGCAUGGAAUAAUAAAGUAGGACUUUGGUUCUAUUUUGUUGGUUUUAGGUACCAAAGUAAUGGUUAAUAGGAACAGUUGGGGGCAUUCGUAUUUAACUGUCAGAGGUGAAAUUCUUAGAUUUGUUAAAGACGAACUACUGCGAAAGCAUUUGCCAAGGAUGUUUUCAUUAAUCAAGAACGAAAGUUAGGGGAUCGAAGACGAUCAGAUACCGUCGUAGUCCUAACCAUAAACUAUGCCGACUAGAGAUUGGAGGUCGUCAGUUUUUACGACUCCUUCAGCACCUUGAGAGAAAUCAAAGUCUUUGGGUUCUGGGGGGGAGUAUGGUCGCAAGGCUGA
Molecule: ribosomal RNA, 583 nt
Filed under: Theileria sp.
Lineage: Eukaryota; Apicomplexa; Aconoidasida; Piroplasmida; Theileriidae
Description: SSU rRNA
Rfam family: Eukaryotic small subunit ribosomal RNA
Source: RNAcentral